CUGCUUCUUUUGGCGUAACUAAAGUUCCCAUGAUAUUAAACUGUACGUCCGGAGGUUUUCUUCUGCAAUUUAGAAGUACUGCUUCUGUUUUAUCGGGUGCUAAUUUUAGCUUUUUGCUGUACAUCCAGUGUACAAUUUUGUCUAGAGUAUCAUUUGUUUUUUCUACUAAAUCCUCUAUGGUUUUUGCAGAUACAAUCACAGCCAAAUCAUCGGCAUAUCCCACGAGCUCGACAUCUUCCGCAACCGACAGUCUCAGGACACUGUCAUACAUUAUAUUCCAUAGCAGUGGUGCGAGCACCGACCCCUGUGGAACCCCGCUGUUUACUUCUAGUAGUUUACCAUGUUCGGUUUAGGAAGAAGAAUCAGUCGUGCUGUUUUCCAGCAAUCCGGAAAGGAUUUUCUCCUUAGACAGGAAUACCAUCUGGUCCAGUGGCUUUACCAGGUUUCAGGCGUUUGGCGGCAAUUAGUAGUUCUUCCAGUGUGAAAUUUUUUAUGGGGUUCUUUAUUGGUUCGGGCCAUACUACUUCAGGAUGGCGCGGAAACAGAUGCACUACAACGUUUUCCAGUUCAUCCUCACCGUUUCCCCAGACGUCGUCAUCAAUUGAGGCACAUAAUUCCUGCCACUUUGAAUGUUUUGAGAUUUUUAUUUCCUUUCGUAGUUUAUCCCUUGCUAUUUUUAGUGUGUUUACCUUAGUUUCUAGGUUUUGUGACAAUGUUGUUUUUGGUCGAGCUCUUGUUACAGCUCGUCUGGCUUUGAUAGAUUCUUUCCGGAGUUGGGCAAUACGAUCGUUCCACCAGUAGCAAGGUCUUCGUUUUGGUGAAAAAGAUUUCUUUAACAUCGCAACGUUGCAUGAUUUUUCAAGACUGUCUUUUAGUUGCUCGGGUUCCACGCUGGGGGUUGGUUUGAAUUAUACUGAUGGCUAUCUGGUAAAUUUGUUUCCCAUUUGAAAGAAAUAAUUUUGUGGUCGCUGAGGGAUUCUGUAUCCAUCGUUGUCCAUCCUUGUAUGUUAUUUGCGACGUUUUGAGAUACUAGUGUUAAGUCUAUGAUUGAUUUUGAUGUACCUCUUUCAAAUGUAUAGUAGUUUGGUUUGUUUUUGGUAAUAAAGUUUAGUUCUGCAA
Long non-coding RNA from Tribolium castaneum (red flour beetle), 1119 nucleotides. RefSeq lists it as uncharacterized. The transcript is spliced from 5 exons. Lineage: Eukaryota; Metazoa; Arthropoda; Insecta; Coleoptera; Tenebrionidae. The record is from RefSeq and is a predicted model, not a curated record.